AUUGAACGCUGGCGGCAUGCCUUACACAUGGUAAGUCGAACGGCAGCACGGGAGCAAUCCUGGUGGCGAGUGGCGAACGGGUGAGUAAUAUAUCGGAACGUGCCCAGUCGUGGGGGGAUAACGUAGCGAAAGCUACGCUAAUACCGCAUACGAUCUACGGAUGAAAGCGGGGGAUCGCAAGACCUCGCGCGAUUGGAGCGGCCGAUAUCAGAUUAGGUAGUUGGUGAGGUAAAGGCUCACCAAGCCGACGAUCUGUAGCUGGUCUGAGAGGACGACCAGCCACACUGGGACUGAGACACGGCCCAGACUCCUACGGGAGGCAGCAGUGGGGAAUUUUGGACAAUGGGCGCAAGCCUGAUCCAGCAAUGCCGCGUGCAGGAUGAAGGCCUUCGGGUUGUAAACUGCUUUUGUACGGAACGAAACGGUGAGCUCUAAUACAGUUUGCUAAUGACGGUACCGUAAGAAUAAGCACCGGCUAACUACGUG
Molecule: ribosomal RNA, 486 nt
Filed under: uncultured bacterium
Lineage: Bacteria
Description: bacterial SSU rRNA
Rfam family: Bacterial small subunit ribosomal RNA
Source: RNAcentral